UAGGGAAUCUUCGGCAAUGGGGGCAACCCUGACCGAGCAACGCCGCGUGAGUGAAGAAGGUUUUCGGAUCGUAAAGCUCUGUUGUAUGAGAAGAACGUGUGUGAGAGUGGAAAGUUCACACAGUGACGGUAACUUACCAGAAAGGGACGGCUAACUACGUGCCAGCAGCCGCGGUAAUACGUAGGUCCCGAGCGUUGUCCGGAUUUAUUGGGCGUAAAGCGAGCGCAGGCGGUUUAAUAAGUCUGAAGUUAAAGGCAGUGGCUUAACCAGUGUUCGCUUUGGAAACUGUUAAACUUGAGUGCAGAAGGGGAGAGUGGAAUUCCAUGUGUAGCGGUGAAAUGCGUAGAUAUAUGGAGGAACACCGGUGGCGAAAGCGGCUCUCUGGUAUGUAACUGACGCUGAGGCUCGAAAGCGUGGGGAGCAAACAGG
RNAcentral lists this ribosomal RNA (429 nucleotides) under bacterium. RNAcentral's name for it is "partial 16S ribosomal RNA". It matches the Rfam family "Bacterial small subunit ribosomal RNA", at positions 355 to 776 of the family's 1533-position model. The record is from RNAcentral.